This 336-nucleotide long non-coding RNA is filed under the name Mytilus galloprovincialis (Mediterranean mussel). The record is from RNAcentral. Lineage: Eukaryota; Metazoa; Mollusca; Bivalvia; Mytilida; Mytilidae.
UAUAUCUUAUAUUUUCAAUAUGUUAAGAAAGUCGGCUUCAAUUUGGAUUCAGAGUCUCAUUGUGUAAAGACUGGAAAUCUGUGUUAAAAAAUACCCAAGUAAUGCCAAAAAGAUGUACUAUAGUUAAAACAAUCAUUUAAAUCUGCAUGUUCACCCAAAAUAGAUCAUUUAUUCUGAAAUUUCCAAGGAAAUGGUUAGCUCUCUCAACUUUUAUUGAAGCAUCUAUAAAUAUUCAAUACCCAUUUUAGAGUUCUAAUCAUUAUUGCACUGGUAAAACUCAUGCAGAUAAAAUAAUGUGAACUAAAAUCACAAGUAUCAAGCUGUUUAACAUCAGAU